AGUUACAGCUUUAUUAAUGUUACCAUAUGGGGCAGCACGAAGCACCGAAAAUUUAACACAAACUUAAUCAUUAAAACAUUAGUAAUAAUCUAAAAAGCAAAUUAGAAUUACACAAACGACAUUAAGGGUAAUCUAAAUCGAUUAUGGGCUUAUUUCUUUAGUCGUGGCACAUUUCACAGUAAUAACUUAAUGAAGGUUUGGUAUGCACUAUGUCAAAUCGCGGACCUUGCUUUUGUCAUUUAAUUUUCAACACUAUGAUAAUUUUGAUAAAAUGUGUAAAAAACAGGUAUUUGUUUCGCCAUAUAUGACCCUAUGUAGUGUCAACAUUGAAUCUGUUUUGACAUUGACGUGACGACAAUAAAACAUAUUACAUACACGAUCAAACACUCCUGAAGCGUGCUAUAGACACAUGUGAGCAUAACGGCAUGGUUAUUUAUGAAAUAUAAUUAUGCGAUUUACACGGGCUUGUUAUGUUCUCCUGAAACAUGCAUUUUUUUCACAAAAAUUUUACCAAUUUAUAUGACAAAAGCGAGAUCGGCGAUGAUAUGAUGCAUACUACGAAUUGGUGCUAAACACAUAAUUCUAUAUAGAUUACCCUUAAAAACAAUAACAUAAAACUACCUUAAAGGAAUACUCAAACGAGAUAAGUCUAAAAUCAAAAAUCAACGUCAUAAACCGUCCAUAAUCAAUACAAGUAAGUACGAAGUCAAUCAUAUUACAACCCCCCAUGGUAUAUACAAACUCCCCUAUGGUAGUAAAUAUAAAUAAGUCUGAGCUCACUAGUAUCACUAACUCGUCCGACGUCAAAACAAACAAGAAAAGUCGACGAAUUACAGUCUCCCUUUGGAUGUGAAACUAUAUGCUAGGAAUUGAUAAAAUAUAAGUCUUAAAAAUAAGUUCAACCCAUACUCCGAAUAUCACGUUCUAGUGACAAGUCGUUUAGAAGAUAAGAGUCCGGAUGAUCUUUUUCUCUCAUGUAGGCCCAAGUUUUAAACCACGACUUAUCGCCUUACGCAGGUGAACCCAUGCUACUUUACGAAGCUACAGUAACAAGAAGUGAAGAAGACAGAGUCCAAAAACGCAUUUUUUAUGAAGGUCAAAGGUAAAAAGAAAAGUCAGGGUGACUUACUUUUGAUACACGACAGACCGCCUCACACAGGUGAACCCAUACCCCAAGUACAAUGUAUGAAGUAACAGUCGCCUCACACAGGUGAACCCAUACCCCAAGUAUGAAAUAACAGUCGCCUCACGCAGGUGAACCCAUACCCCAAGUAUGAAGUAACAGUCGCCUCACACAGGUGAACCCAUACCCCAAGUAUGAAGUAACAGUCGCCUCACGUAGGUGAGCCCAUGUAUGAAGUAACAGUAACAAGUAGAGUAGAAGAUAACGCCUGGACAAAAUAGCGAAGAGCGGACGGACACAACACAAUAAACACAGGAAAUAUCGUGAACUGUCACCAAAAUCUAGUGUAACUAAAAAUUAACACUACCGAAAACAACCGGGUUCCGUUGAUGACUUUUACUGAACAACUUAUAUUGACGACAAAAAUGUUUUAAAGAACACAAAAUAACUGCAAAAUCAUAUCGCAAUAAAAUGUCUGCACAACCAUAUGAUAGUAAAACGUGGCUACAUCAAUAACAGUAUAACCAUUAAUGUUUUAAAACAUUCCAAAUAUAAUAAAUCAUUGUUUUAAUUGAAGCGAAUCCAUUACAGUUGGUAUUUUUGUACGUCUUUUGUGAAAAUAGUUUACUGGUUUAAACAAAUGCAUAUCGGAAAAUUGACAGCCCUCUUUCGAUGAGAGAUAAGUUACAAUGUAGCAAUGCAAUGUUUAACCAGAUGAGGUAUUCCUCUUAUUUGGAUGAUUCAUGCAGGAGAAAUGGAACAUUAAUUAUCUAAAAUAAAUUUGGUCCCUACAUGAAUAGGUUUCUUGAGUAAAUCGUAAAUGGUCAAUACAGGGUGUUUAGUAGUGUUAGUGUUAAUACAAUAAACUUUAGGUAAAACUUAACAUCCGAUAUAUAUAUAUAUAUAUAAAUGUACAUUAUUAAAGGGAUGAUUGGGACACACAUCUCCCUCGGACAUAUUAUAUAUGCCUUCCACAACCAUACUUAUCACAGAAUUCAGAGCAUCAAAAAUCUGGACGGGU
Molecule: long non-coding RNA, 2144 nt
Organism: Pecten maximus
Lineage: Eukaryota; Metazoa; Mollusca; Bivalvia; Pectinida; Pectinidae
Exons: 2
Source: RefSeq, a predicted model, not a curated record